This 321-nucleotide unclassified non-coding RNA is filed under the name Hevea brasiliensis (rubber tree). Lineage: Eukaryota; Viridiplantae; Streptophyta; Magnoliopsida; Malpighiales; Euphorbiaceae. The record is from RNAcentral.
GGAAUUCUUUGGAUUGCAACAUGAAUUAUAUGGGGGCCUGGUGCAAGCCUGUUCAAAUCACAGAAGUGUUAACAUUGACCAUAACUGAAAAUUCAACCAAGUCUUUGGCUUUUCUAGGUCUUUAGGCCUAUAUUUGAUUAUGGGUCAAUAUGGUGUUAUUUGCAUGUCAGAAGGGAAAUCUUAUAGUUGUAGCUUUUGUUAAUUUGCUAUACUUUUGUUGGACUAAUGAUUUAUUCUGUUAUCAAUUCCUUGACCAAGUGGAUGGAGAUGCUAAGUAUUAUAACUUGUGUUGUCUAUACCAUGGUUUUAAAUAACGGCCGU